RNAcentral lists this unclassified non-coding RNA (254 nucleotides) under uncultured Acidimicrobiia bacterium. Its description in RNAcentral is "contains 16S-23S intergenic spacer region". It matches the Rfam family "Bacterial small subunit ribosomal RNA", at positions 524 to 776 of the family's 1533-position model. The record is from RNAcentral. Lineage: Bacteria; Bacillati; Actinomycetota; Acidimicrobiia.
UACGUAGGGUGCAAGCGUUAUCCGGAAUCAUUGGGCGUAAAGAGCUCGUAGGCGGUUCAGCAGGUCGGCUGUGAAAGUCCGAGGCUUAACCUCGGAAUUGCAGUCGAUACUGUUGUGACUCGAGUCCGGUAGAGGAGAAUGGAAUUCCCGGUGUAGCGGUGAAAUGCGCAGAUAUCGGGAGGAACACCAGUAGCGAAGGCGGUUCUCCGGGCCGGCACUGACGCUGAAGAGCGAAAGCGUGGGGAGCGAACGGG